CCCAGACUCCUACGGGAGGCAGCAGUGGGGAAUAUUGCUCAAUGGGGGAAACCCUGAUGCAGCAACGCCGCGUGAGUGAGGAAGUAUUUCGGUAUGUAAAGCUCUAUCAGCAGGGAAGAAAAUGACAGUACCUGACUAAGAAGCCCCGGCUAACUACGUGCCAGCAGCCGCGGUAAUACGUAGGGGGCAAGCGUUAUCCGGAUUUACUGGGUGUAAAGGGAGCGUAGACGGCUGCGCAAGUCAGAAGUGAAAGCCCGGGGCUCAACCGCGGGACUGCUUUUGAAACUGCGUGGCUAGAGUGCAGGAGGGGCAGGCGGAAUUCCUGGUGUAGCGGUGAAAUGCGUAGAUAUCAGGAGGAACACCGGUGGCGAAGGCGGCCUGCUGGACUGCAACUGACGUUGAGGCCCGAAAGCGUGGGGAGCAAACAGGAUUAGAUACCCGAGUAU
Molecule: ribosomal RNA, 446 nt
Filed under: uncultured bacterium
Lineage: Bacteria
Description: bacterial SSU rRNA
Rfam family: Bacterial small subunit ribosomal RNA
Source: RNAcentral